RNAcentral lists this small RNA (262 nucleotides) under Jaculus jaculus (lesser Egyptian jerboa). RNAcentral's name for it is "7SK RNA (ENSJJAG00000005666.1)". It matches the Rfam family "7SK RNA", at positions 1 to 264 of the family's 331-position model. Rfam says of the family: 7SK was discovered as an abundant small nuclear RNA in the mid-70s but a possible function has only recently been suggested. Two independent studies have found that 7SK RNA binds the CDK9/cyclin T complex (known as elongation factor P-TEFb). Lineage: Eukaryota; Metazoa; Chordata; Mammalia; Rodentia; Dipodidae. The record is from RNAcentral.
GGAUAUGAGAGCAAUCUGGCUGUCACAUCUAUCAACCCACUGUUCCCCAUGGUUGAUUCAGCUCAUCUGGAUGACUAGGCAGGUGUCCCCUCACUCCAUUAUCAUGACUCCUUUGCAUUCCUCCUAAAGUUGUGCACUUGCUUAAAGAGGAUGGCCUUCUCAGAAUAGAGAGUGUUCAUUCUUUGGUCAUGACUCUACAAGUAGCUCCCCUGCUCAAACCUCCAAAGUAGCCAUCAUAAUAAGAAAUUCUAAGAAUGACCUU